AUUGUAUUUGCAGAAAUAACAGCUGGGAUCUACAGUGGCCAAAGAGUUGUCUCCGUCUUGCUACAUCGACAAACUGGUGCUCCUGAGUGAGGAUUGUGCCCUGGGAUGGGGGAUUCAGUUUCUUCAUUUAUAGUUGGAAGUGGGUGAAGUGCCAGGAGCGACGGUACACUCCAGAGUGCUGUGCCCUGAUGGGCCUUUGAGUGGCCAGUGCAGUGGAUCAUCAGCCCUGUCUCCCAAGAGCUCCAGUCCCUUCUCCGGAGAGGAAGUGGGUCCACUGGCAGCUCAGGAGGCCAUAGCAGAUUGUGGGGCUCUGUGCAGUUGAUGUUAGUUAACCACUGGAUCCACGUGUUCACCGUGGCUUGCGCCCCUGCAUCCGAAAGUGAUCUUGGCUGCCGUGUCCUGGUCAUUGGUAGUGCAGGGAAAGGAUGCGGAAAGACGGGCUCCGAGCUCGGGGCGUCUGGCCUGGAGCUUUCCUACACUUGUGUCUUGCUCUGCAGCCUUACGGAAGUGUGGGUGGCGCUUUCUGGAAGCUGCACAAGUCAGUGCUGGGUCUUCGCAACUUGGUGUUCUGUUUCCAGAAACUUGGGGUGUUUGCAUGUGCUAGGUCAGCACAGAUUUCCAAAGGAUCUCUAGGAUUGUCACGUGUGCUCAACAGUCCUCCUCGGCUUUCCAGAAGAGGCUGGAACAGGGCCCUUGAAGAUGUUUGUGGACAUCAGAGGGCCAAAGACGACACAAAGUGAAACUGGAGACACCGCCCCCCCUUGGCAUCAUGAAACUGCCGAUGUUACUGGCUCAUGCAUGGGAGACACCAGCAUACAAAGUCUUGACACCAACACCUCAGAGGGCUGUGUUCUGUCCCCGUGACCAUCAUCUAGUGCCUGGAAAGACUAGUGACAAGAACUUGUUGCCAACUUCCUAUUACCUCCCUAACAGUUGUGCAAUAAACCCCAUAGGUUAAUUCA
Molecule: long non-coding RNA, 962 nt
Filed under: Mus musculus (house mouse)
Lineage: Eukaryota; Metazoa; Chordata; Mammalia; Rodentia; Muridae
Description: small nucleolar RNA host gene 17
Rfam family: Small nucleolar RNA SNORA71 (bases 366-478)
Source: RNAcentral